Molecule: ribosomal RNA, 182 nt
Filed under: Actinomycetota bacterium
Lineage: Bacteria; Bacillati; Actinomycetota
Description: partial 23S ribosomal RNA
Rfam family: Bacterial large subunit ribosomal RNA
Source: RNAcentral
UUAGCCACGUCUGGAUGGGAUAACCGCUGAAAGCAUCUAAGCGGGAAGCCCACCUCGAGAUGAGGCUUCCCAUCCCCUAGAGGGAGUAAGGGCCGUGGGAGACCACCACGUCGAUAGGCGGGACGUGUAAGCGCAGCAAUGCGUUUAGCGGACCCGUACUAAUUGCCCGAGGUCUUGAUUUU